UCUUCUCGAGGUCCUACAUGGAAAGCACCCAAGUGCGCACAACAGGAAAACGGAGUUGACUGUGGCCUAUACGUUAUGAGAUUCAUGUAUGACAUAGUGAUGAGUCACUGUACAGACACACGUCAGCUUGAAGAGUUUUGCAAGGGGCAAACGGGACUUCCAUACACGAGUGAGGAACUCCAUGUAAUUCGGGAGAUGUUGGCGACCUACGUCACAUUUAAUUUGUAAAUAUCGUCAUACAUUUUUGUACUAUAUCAUCUCUUCAUCAAUCCUAGGCUUAGCUUAUUAAUUAUGUACUAUACAUGAAACA
Chenopodium quinoa (quinoa) is the source of this 310-nucleotide long non-coding RNA. RefSeq lists it as uncharacterized. The record is from RefSeq and is a predicted model, not a curated record. The transcript has 3 exons. NCBI's taxonomy places the organism in Eukaryota, Viridiplantae, Streptophyta, Magnoliopsida, Caryophyllales, Amaranthaceae.